UACGGAGGAUGCAAGCGUUAUCCGGAAUGAUUGGGCGUAAAGCGUCCGCAGGUGGCUGUGUAAGUCUGCUGUCAAAGAGCAAAGCUCAACUUUGUAAAGGCAGUGGAAACUACACGGCUAGAGUGCGUUCGGGGCAGAGGGAAUUCCUGGUGUAGCGGUGAAAUGCGUAGAGAUCAGGAAGAACACCGGUGGCGAAAGCGCUCUGCUGGACCUAAACUGACACUGAGGGACGAAAGCUAGGGGAGCGAAUGGG
This 253-nucleotide ribosomal RNA is filed under the name uncultured bacterium. RNAcentral's name for it is "partial 16S ribosomal RNA". It matches the Rfam family "Bacterial small subunit ribosomal RNA", at positions 524 to 776 of the family's 1533-position model. The record is from RNAcentral.